This is a non-coding RNA of Gossypium hirsutum (cotton), 87 nucleotides long. The record is from Rfam. NCBI's taxonomy places the organism in Eukaryota, Viridiplantae, Streptophyta, Magnoliopsida, Malvales, Malvaceae.
AUUCCCUAUGAUAACUUUUAAACCAUGCUAAUGCUGAUAAUCCAGUGAUUAAAAUAUCUUUUGGAUUCAUUCUGAUCUGAGGGAACU